Molecule: ribosomal RNA, 253 nt
Filed under: uncultured bacterium
Lineage: Bacteria
Description: partial 16S ribosomal RNA
Rfam family: Bacterial small subunit ribosomal RNA
Source: RNAcentral
UACGGAGGAUGCAAGCGUUAUCCGGAAUGAUUGGGCGUAAAGCGUCCGCAGGUGGCAAUGUAAGUCUGCUGUCAAAGCGUCUGGCUCAACCAGAUAAAGGCAGUGGAAACUACAUAGCUAGAGUAAGGUAGGGGUAGAGGGAAUUCUUGGUGUAGCGGUGAAAUGCGUAGAGAUCAGGAAGAACACCGGUGGCGAAAGCGCUCUGCUGGACCUAAACUGACACUGAGGGACGAAAGCUAGGGGAGCGAAUGGG